AGAGAUGUGUGAUGACGCAUAUCAAUAAGCGGAGGAAAAGAAACUAACAAGGAUUCCCUUAGUAACGGCGAGUGAAGCGGGAAGAGCUCAAAUUUGAAAUCUUCAAGGUUCUACCUUGACGAAUUGUAGUUUAUAGAAGUGUUUUCUGUUAGUGGAGUGGCAAAAGUUCUUUGGAAUAGGACAUCAUAGAGGGUGAGAAUCCCGUAUUUGGUCAUUCCUUCUAGCUUUGUGAUACACUUUCAACGAGUCGGAUUGUUUGGGAAUGCAGUCCAAAAUGGGUGGUAAAUUUCAUCUAAAGCUAAAUAUUGGCGAGAGACCGAUAGCGAACAAGUACCGUGAGGGAAAGAUGAAAAGAACUUUGAAAAGAGAGUUAAACAGUACGUGAAAUUGUCAAAAGGGAAGCGUUUGACACCAGUGUUGUUUUUCCGAAAAUCAAUUACGAAUGUUUUAUUUUUGAGGAGUUAUGACUUCAUCGGCUUGCUUCUCUCUUUAUGAAACUUUCUCUAAUGCACUUUUCGGUUAACAAGUCAACAUCAAUUUCUUUUGUUGUAAAAGGGUAUGAGGAAGGUGGCUUUCUUUUCGGAGAAAGUGUUUAUAGCCUUGUACCUCUGCAAUCGGAGAGAUUGAGGUCUGCAGCGUAGAUCCUUCGGGAUUAGAUACAUUUGUGCUAAGUUAUAGCUUUUCAUAGACAACUUGUUGACUAUGUUUAGUCUUGUAGCUUACUCGCUUAUGCUAUUUUACCUACGCUUAGGAUGUUGACGAUCAGCUGAGCGCG
Molecule: ribosomal RNA, 775 nt
Filed under: uncultured Neocallimastigales
Lineage: Eukaryota; Fungi; Neocallimastigomycota; Neocallimastigomycetes; Neocallimastigales
Description: partial large subunit ribosomal RNA
Rfam family: Eukaryotic large subunit ribosomal RNA
Source: RNAcentral